This 298-nucleotide long non-coding RNA is filed under the name Homo sapiens (human). Its description in RNAcentral is "non-protein coding lnc-DEFB121-1:3". The record is from RNAcentral. Lineage: Eukaryota; Metazoa; Chordata; Mammalia; Primates; Hominidae.
AUGAAGACUUUUUUGGUAACUUUGGCUGUGCUGCUGCUCUUCCUCCAAGUCAUUCCAGGCAGGAUUGAAACAUGUUGGAAUUUUCGUGGCUCCUGCCGUGACGAAUGCCUGAAGAAUGAAAGGGUCUAUGUUUUCUGCGUGAGUGGUAAACUGUGCUGUUUGAAGCCCAAGGACCAGCCACAUUUACCACAGCAUAUAAAGAAUUAGUGCUUUAAAGUCUGAGGCCACAAAAAUGAAGAUAAACUUGCCUUAAGUCUGAUGUCAGUAGAUUCCUGGGCUUUAUUAAAACAUCUUUGGC